GUUGAACGCUGGCGGCAGGCCUAACACAUGCAAGUCGAGCGGAUGAAGGGAGCUUGCUCCUGGAUUCAGCGGCGGACGGGUGAGUAAUGCCUAGGAAUCUGCCUGGUAGUGGGGGAUAACGUCCGUAAACGGGCGCUAAUCCCGCAUACGUCCUGAGGGAGAAAUUGGGGGAUCUUCGGACCUCACGCUAUCAUAUGAGCCUAGGUCGGAUUAGCUAGUUGGUGGGGUAAAGGCCUACCAAGGCGACGAUCCGUAACUGGUCUGAGAGGAUGAUCAGUCACACUGGAACUGAGACACGGUCCAGACUCCUACGGGAGGCAGCAGUGGGGAAUAUUAGACAAUGGGCGAAAGCCUGAUCCAGCCAUGCCGCGUGUGUGAAGAAGGUCUUCGGAUUGUAAAGCUCUUUAAGUUGGGAGGAAGGGCAGUAAGUUAAUACCUUGCUGUUUUGACGUUACCAACAGAAUAAGCACCGGCUAACUUCGUG
RNAcentral lists this ribosomal RNA (484 nucleotides) under uncultured bacterium. RNAcentral's name for it is "partial 16S ribosomal RNA". It matches the Rfam family "Bacterial small subunit ribosomal RNA", at positions 28 to 507 of the family's 1533-position model. The record is from RNAcentral.